UGGGGAAUCUUGCGCAAUGGGCGAAAGCCUGACGCAGCAACGCCGCGUGAGCGAAGACGGCCUUCGGGUUGUAAAGCUCUGUCAGGAGGGACGAAGCCACUCAGGUGAAUAGCCGAGAGGGUGACGGUACCUCCAGAGGAAGCCCCGGCUAACUACGUGCCAGCAGCCGCGGUAAUACGUAGGGGGCGAGCGUUGUCCGGAAUCAUUGGGCGUAAAGCGCGUGUAGGCGGCCAUCCAAGUCCGAUGUGAAAGCUCGGGGCUCAACCCCGAGUCUGCAUUGGAAACUGGAUGGCUUGAGUCCGGAAGAGGAGACUGGAAUUCCUGGUGUAGCGGUGAAAUGCGCAGAUAUCAGGAAGAACACCGGUGGCGAAGGCGGGUCUCUGGGACGGUACUGACGCUGAGACGCGAAAGCGUGGGGAGCAAACA
Molecule: ribosomal RNA, 426 nt
Filed under: uncultured Actinomycetes bacterium
Lineage: Bacteria; Bacillati; Actinomycetota; Actinomycetes
Description: uncultured actinobacterium partial 16S ribosomal RNA
Rfam family: Bacterial small subunit ribosomal RNA
Source: RNAcentral